This 3285-nucleotide ribosomal RNA is filed under the name Triticum aestivum (bread wheat). Its description in RNAcentral is "partial small subunit ribosomal RNA". The record is from RNAcentral. Lineage: Eukaryota; Viridiplantae; Streptophyta; Magnoliopsida; Poales; Poaceae.
AUGGAGAGUUUUCAUGACUACAAGAUGGUGAAUAACCGUUCUGUGGUUGAACAAGCUCAUGAGAUACAGUGCAUUGUGAAGGAACUUGAACUCCUUAAAUGUGUUCUACCCGACAAAUUCGUGGCUGGGUGCAUGAUUGCAAAGUUGCCUCCUUCAUGGAGGAAUUUCGCCACAACUCUGAAGCAUAAGAGACAGGAGAUAUCAGUUGAAAAUCUGAUUGCAUCUUUUGAUGUUGAAGAAAAAGCUCGGGCUAAAGAUACCACUGAAAAAGGAGUAUUUCAAUCAUCUUCGUGGUGGAUUGAUUCGGGUGCUAACGUUCAUGUGUGUGCUGACAUCUCCCUGUUUACUUCUUAUCAAGUCGCAAGGGAUUCUUCCGUCCUAAUGGGGAAUGGGUCACAUGCUUCUGUUCAUGGCAUUGCCACGGUGGAUCUGAAGUUUACUUCGGGAAAGAUCGUGCAACUAAGGAACGUGCAGCAUGUCCCUACUAUGAACAAGAAUCUAGUUAGCGGCUCCCUUCUAUGUCGAGAUGGUUUUAAGGUAGUUUUAGAGUCCAAUAAAGUAAUCGUGUCAAGAUUUGGACAAUUUAUAGGAAAAGGCUAUGAGUGCGGAGGCUUGUUCCGUUUUUCUCUUUCAGAUUUUUCCAAUAAGUCAAUAAACCAAAUUUGUGCUAGUGUUAAUGAUGAUGCAAGUAUUUGGCACUCUCGUUUAUGUCAUAUUAAUUUUGGUUUAAUGUCUCGGCUAUCCAGCAUGAGUUUAAUACCGAACUUCACAGUUGCCAAAGGUUCUAAGUGCCAUAGUUGUGUGCAAUCUAAGCAACCUCGAAAGCCUCAUAAGGCUGCCGAGGAGAGAAACUUGGCACCUCUAGAACUCAUACAUUCUGAUCUUUGUGAGAUGAAUGGUGUGUUGACAAAAGGUGGAAAGAGAUAUUUCAUGACUUUGAUUGAUGAUGCGACUAGAUUUUGCUAUGUUUAUUUGUUGCAAACUAAAGAUGAAGCAUUAGACUACUUUAAAAUCUAUAAAGCUGAAGUUGAAAAUCAACUAGAGAGAAAGAUCAAGCGUCUUAGGUCCGAUCGUGGUGGAGAGUAUUUUCCAAAAGUUUUUGAUGAAUUUUGUGAGGAACAUGGUAUUAUUCAUGAGAGGACGCCUCCCUAUUCACCUCAAUCAAAUGGAGUGGCCGAGAGGAAAAACCGCACAUUGACUGACUUGGUGAAUGCCAUGUUAGACACUGCUGGUUUAUCUAAGGCAUGGUGGGGGGAGGCUCUAUUGACUUCAUGUCAUGUACUGAAUAGAGUUCCCAACAAUAAUAAAGAGAAAACCCCUUAUGAGGAGUGGGUUGGGAGAAAACCAUCACUUUCUUAUUUGCGCACUUGGGGAUGUUUGGCAAAGGUCAAUAUUCCUAUUCCUAAGAAACGCAAACUUGGACCAAAGACAGUGGAUUGUGUCUUUCUAGGGUAUGCUCAACGGAUCAUUGCUUAUAGGUUUUUAGUGGUAAAAUCUGAAGUACUUGAUAUGCAUGUUGAUACUAUAAUGGAAUCUCGUGAUGCAACAUUUUUUGAGAACAUAUUUCCUAUGAAAGAUAUGCAUAGCAUUGCUAGAUUUUCUUCUGAGAUAAUUCCUGAAUCUAGUACAACUGAUGAAUAUUUCGAACAAUCACAUGAGGAAGUCCUUGAGAAGGAUAACAAUGAAGUUCCUAGAAGGAACAAGAGACAAAGAAUUGCAAAAUCCUUUGGUGAUGAUUUCAUUGUAUACCUUGUGGACGACACACCCAAGACGAUUGCAGAAGCAUAUGCAUCUCCGGAUGUAGAUGAUUGGAAAGAAGCUGUUCAUAAUGAGAUGGACUCAAUUCUUUCUAAUGGAACUUGGGAACUAACUGAUAGACCAUAUGGUUGUAAACCUGUGGGCUGUAAGUGGGUGUUCAAAAAGAAGCUAAAGCCUGAUGGUACUAUUGAUAAGUACAAGGCGCGGCUAGUGGCCAAGGGCUACACUCAGAAAGAAGGCGAAGAUUACUUUGACACCUAUUCACCCGUUGUUAGAAUGACCACCAUUCGAGUGUUACUUUCCUUGGCUGCCUCUUAUGGUCUUAUCAUUCAUCAAAUGGAUGUAAAGACAACUUUUCUCAAUGGAGAGUUGGAAGAGGAGAUCUAUAUGGAUCAGCCUGACGGGUUUGUGGUAAAGGGUGAAGAGAGAAAGGUGUGCAAGUUGUUAAAAUCUUUGUAUGGUCUGAAACAGGCACCUAAGCAAUGGCAUGAGAAGUUUGAAAGAACUUUGACUUCUGCAGGAUUUGUCAUUAACGAGGCUGAUAGGUGUGUUUAUUAUCGCCAUGGUGGGGGCAAUAGUGCCAUAUUAUGUUUGUAUGUGGACGACAUACUGAUCUUUGGUACAAACAUUAAUGCAAUUAAUGAGGUCAAGUCUUUUCUAUCAAAAAGUUUUGACAUGAAAGAUCUGGGAGAAGCCGAUGUAAUUCUAAACAUCAAACUUAUUAAGGAUGAGAGUGGGAUUACAUUAACGCAAUCUCACUAUGUUGAGAAGGUCUUGAACCGAUUCGGUUUUAUGGAUAGCAAGCCUUUUCCAACACCUUAUGAUCCCAGCGUGACACUCAGAAAGAACAAGAAAGAAACGAGAGAUCAAUUAAGAUACUCUCAAAUUGUCGGUUCACUCGUGUAUUUAGCUAGCGCUACAAGACCAGAUAUCUCUUUUGCUGUGAGCAAACUGAGUAGGUUCAUGUCCAACCCGGGUGAUGAUCAUUGGCAUGCACUAGAAAGGGUCUUGCGCUAUCUGAGAGGUACUAUGAGUUACGGAAUUACUUAUUCAGGGCAUCCUGCUGUGCUAGAAGGAUAUAGUGAUUCAAAUUGGAUCCCCGAUGUUGAUGUACUUUACGCAACAAGUGGGUAUGUAUUUACUCAUGGUGGUGGCGCAGUGUCAUGGAGGUCUUGCAAGCAAACCAUAUUGACGAGGUCAACUAUGGAAGCAGAAUUAACUGCUUUGGACACAGCUACUGUUGAGGUAGAAUGGCUGCGUGAGCUCUUGAUGGACUUGCCGGUUGUUGAAAAACCUGUACCGGCUAUUCUUAUGAAUUGUGAUAACCAAACACGUGAAAAGACGUUUGAAGUCUGUCAGGAAGUUGAGAAACUUCGGAGUAAUAACUGUUACGUAUAUACAAACAGACAAAAACCUGGCAGAUCCCUUUACGAAGGGACUAUCACGAAAUGUGAUAGAUAUUGCAUCGAGGGAGAUGGGUAUGAGACCCAUAGCAGUCUUGAAAGAACACACCUAUAUGAGUUCUGA